GCAUGGUUUUCUAUUAUCUGGAUUUGUACGAAUUGCCGCAUUGUUCGGAUUUUUCAGAAAAUUUCCAUUUUUCUGUUGACAAGUGAAAAUAAGUAGGGUAUCAUUGUAAAUAAUUAAAAUACUGAAAGGAAAAAGUCAAAUGAAACCUGUCACUACAAAAUUCUUUGCUUUGUUGUUGCGACGGUCGGGCUAGUGCACUAGGUAGCAUUAGUCCUGUUUGGCUUACCAAGCGGGCGCUGUUGACAACAUCUCGCAGGUAAUAGUCCUCGAGGUGUUUUCU
RNAcentral lists this small RNA (280 nucleotides) under Streptococcus suis. Its description in RNAcentral is "partial trans-acting small RNA SsRNA17". Lineage: Bacteria; Bacillati; Bacillota; Bacilli; Lactobacillales; Streptococcaceae. The record is from RNAcentral.